GGGUUGUGAGGUUAAGCGACUAAGCGUACACGGUGGAUGCCCUGGCAGUCAGAGGCGAUGAAGGGCGUGCUAAUCUGCGAUAAGCGCCGGUAAGGUGAUAUGAACCGUUAUAACCGGCGAUACCCGAAUGGGGAAACCCAGUGUGAUUCGUCACACUAUCAUUAACUGAAUCCAUAGGUUAAUGAGGCGAACCGGGGGAACUGAAACAUCUAAGUACCCCGAGGAAAAGAAAUCAACCGAGAUUCCCCCAGUAGCGGCGAGCGAACGGGGAGGAGCCCAGAGCCUGAAUCAGCAUGUGUGUUAGUGGAAGCGUCUGGAAAGGCGCGCGAUACAGGGUGACAGCCCCGUACACAAAAGCGCAUGUGCUGUGAGCUCGAUGAGUAGGGCGGGACACGUGGUAUCCUGUCUGAAUAUGGGGGGACCAUCCUCCAAGGCUAAAUACUCCUGACUGACCGAUAGUGAACCAGUACCGUGAGGGAAAGGCGAAAAGAACCCCGGCGAGGGGAGUGAAAAAGAACCUGAAACCGUGUACGUACAAGCAGUGGGAGCACAGGUUUACCUGUGUGACUGCGUACCUUUUGUAUAAUGGGUCAGCGACUUAUAUUCUGUAGCAAGGUUAACCGAAUAGGGGAGCCGGAGGGAAACCGAGUCUUA
Molecule: ribosomal RNA, 654 nt
Filed under: Salmonella enterica
Lineage: Bacteria; Pseudomonadati; Pseudomonadota; Gammaproteobacteria; Enterobacterales; Enterobacteriaceae
Description: bacterial LSU rRNA
Rfam family: Bacterial large subunit ribosomal RNA
Source: RNAcentral